AGCGAACGUUAGCGGCGGGCCUAACACAUGCAAGUCGAACGCGAAAGGUCUUCGGACUGAUUAGAGUGGCGCACGGGUGAGUAACACGUAGGUAAUCUACCCUUUGGCGGGGGAUAACGUUCCGAAAGGAGCGCUAAUACCGCAUAAGACCACGGAGUCUCCGGACGCUGUGGGAAAAAGGUGGCCCUCUUCUUGAAAGCUAUCACCGGAGGAUGAGCCUGCGUCCCAUCAGCUAGUUGGUAAGGUAAUGGCUUACCAAGGCAAAGACGGGUAGCUGGUUUGAGAGAAUGAUCAGCCACACUGGCACUGGAACACGGGCCAGACUCCUACGGGAGGCAGCAGUGAGGAAUAUUGGGCAAUGGGCGAAAGCCUGACCCAGCCACGCCGCGUGAGUGAUGAAGGCCCUCGGGUCGUAAAGCUCUGUGGAGAGGGACGAAAAACCUGGGGUCUAAUAGGCCCCGGACUUGACGGUACCUCUUUAGCAAGCACCGGCUAACUCUGUGCCAGCAGCCGCGGUAAAG
Molecule: ribosomal RNA, 521 nt
Filed under: uncultured bacterium
Lineage: Bacteria
Description: bacterial SSU rRNA
Rfam family: Bacterial small subunit ribosomal RNA
Source: RNAcentral